This 478-nucleotide unclassified non-coding RNA is filed under the name Hevea brasiliensis (rubber tree). Lineage: Eukaryota; Viridiplantae; Streptophyta; Magnoliopsida; Malpighiales; Euphorbiaceae. The record is from RNAcentral.
ACUCCUAUCCUAGACCCUCCAUGUAAUUGAAAAAAGUUUCAUGGGGAUUGUAUUUGUUCAAACCUCACAGUUCACACGCAAAAUUUUGGAGGCUGCGAGACGCCAAGACAUCUCUCCUGCAAUAGACGGACAAAGCUAACUUUGUACCAUCUCCGCGGUUGGCCGCACCUUAUCCACACGCACGUCUUCUGAUUUUGAUAACACCCACAUACCCAAAGCCCCCUAAAAACCAAAGCCAAGAAAAAACCACGUACAAGAAUCCUACAGACUUAAGAUAAGAUUUGGAGAGAGAAACAGGAGAGAAAGAGGAAGAUGUCAGUGGCAUCCUCAAUUCCAUGCAUCAGAAUCCCUAACCCAUCAUCAUCAUGCUCCUCUCCUUCAUCUUCCUCUUCAUCAGCAACCUCCUCCACUUCCUCUUGUUUUAGAUUUUCCACAACUGUAAAGCCUUGUGCUGUGACCAUCAGGAGCUCUCAAGCUG